This 679-nucleotide ribosomal RNA is filed under the name uncultured bacterium. RNAcentral describes it as "bacterial SSU rRNA". It matches the Rfam family "Bacterial small subunit ribosomal RNA", at positions 8 to 732 of the family's 1533-position model. The record is from RNAcentral.
AGGGUUUGAUCAUGGCUCAGAACGUACGCUGGCGGCACACCUUAUACAUGCAAGUCGAACGAAGUAGCAAUACUUAGUGGCAGACGGGUGAGUAACAUGUAGGUAUCUGCCCUUUGGCCUGGAAUAACACGAGGAAACUUGUGCUAAUACUGGAUAAGUCUUUACGGAGAAAGCUUUAUGCACCAUUGGAUGAGCCUGCACUUGAUUAGUUUGUUGGUGGGGUAAUGGCCUACCAAGACAAUGAUCAAUAGCUGAUUUGAGAGGAUGAUCAGCCACAUUGGAACUGAGACACGGUCCAAACUCCUACGGGAGGCAGCAGUAGGGAAUCUUGCACAAUGGAGGAAACUCUGAUGCAGCGAUGCCGCGUGAGUGAAGAAGGCCUUUGGGUUGUAAAGCUCUUUCGUCGGGGAAGAAAAUGACUGUACCCGAAUAAGAAGGUCCGGCUAACUUCGUGCCAGCAGCCGCGGUAAUACGAAGGGACCUAGCGUAGUUCGGAAUUACUGGGCUUAAAGAGUUCGUAGGUGGUUAAAAAAGUUGGUGGUGAAAUCCCAGAGCUUAACUCUGGAACUGCCAUCAAAACUUUUUAGCUAGAGUAUGAUAGAGGAAAGCAGAAUUUCUAGUGUAGAGGUGAAAUUCGUAGAUAUUAGAACGAAUACCGAUUGCGAAGGCAGCUUUCUGG